RNAcentral lists this ribosomal RNA (253 nucleotides) under uncultured bacterium. Its description in RNAcentral is "partial 16S ribosomal RNA". It matches the Rfam family "Bacterial small subunit ribosomal RNA", at positions 524 to 776 of the family's 1533-position model. The record is from RNAcentral.
UACGUAGGGUGCAAGCGUUGUCCGGAAUUAUUGGGCGGAAAGAGCUCGUAGGCGGUCUGUCGCGUCUGCUGUGAAAACUCAGGGCUUAACCCUGAGCUUGCAGUGGGUACGGGCAGACUAGAGUGCGGUAGGGGAGACUGGAAUUCCUGGUGUAGCGGUGAAAUGCGCAGAUAUCAGGAGGAACACCGGUGGCGAAGGCGGGUCUCUGGGCCGUAACUGACGCUGAGGAGCGAAAGCAUGGGGAGCGAACAGG